Molecule: non-coding RNA, 111 nt
Organism: Acanthosepion pharaonis
Lineage: Eukaryota; Metazoa; Mollusca; Cephalopoda; Sepiida; Sepiidae
Source: the annotation of a GenBank genome assembly
UUACGGACAUAGCACAUUGAAACACCCGUCCCCGUACAAUCACCGAAGUUAAGCAACGUUUAGCCUGGUUAGUACCUGGAUGGGUGACUGCUUGGGAAUACCAAGUGCUAU